Molecule: ribosomal RNA, 441 nt
Filed under: uncultured bacterium
Lineage: Bacteria
Description: partial 16S ribosomal RNA
Rfam family: Bacterial small subunit ribosomal RNA
Source: RNAcentral
CCUACGGGCGGCAGCAGUGGGGAAUAUUGCACAAUGGGGGGAACCCUGAUGCAGCGACGCCGCGUGGGUGAAGGAGUAUUUCGGUAUGUAAAGCCCUAUCAGCAGGGAAGAACAAUGACGGUACCUGACUAAGAAGCACCGGCGAAAUACGUGCCAGCAGCCGCGGUAAUACGUAUGGUGCAAGCGUUAUCCGGAUUUACUGGGUGUAAAGGGAGCGCAGGCGGCGCGUUAAGCCUGGUGUGAAAGGCCGCGGCCCAACGGCGGGACUGCAGUGGGAACUGGCGAGCGGGAGUGCCGGAGGGGUAGGCGGAAUGCCUAGUGUAGCGGUGAAAUGCGGAGAUAUUAGGAGGAACACUAGUGGCGAAGGCGGCCUACUGGACGGUGACUGACGCUGAGGCUCGAAAGCGUGGGGAGCAAACAGGAUUAGAUACCCCAGUAGUC